GAGCAGUGGCACUAGUUCACGGCCGCGGUAUCCUAACCGUGCGAAGGUAGCGUAAUCACUUGUUCUUUAAAUGAGGACUAGUAUGAAUGGCAUCACGAGGGCUAUACUGUCUCCUUUUUCUAAUCAGUGAAACUAAUCUUCCCGUGAAGAAGCGGGAAUUUACCUAUAAGACGAGAAGACCCUAUGGAGCUUUAAAUUUUUCUUCAACUGCCCUACUUCUUCUAAAGUUUAUACUUUUCACAACAACUUCGGCACUAUGAGGAUAAAUUUUAGGUUGGGGUGACCGCGGAGCAUAGUAAAACCUCCACACUGAACCGAGCCUAUAAACUCUGAGCAAAGGACAACAACCCGAUGCACUAACAUAUUAACAUUCAUUGACCCAAUAAUUUUGAUCAACGAACCAAGUUACCCUAGGGAUAACAGCGCAAUCUGCUUCAAGAGUUCAUAUCGACAAGCAGGCUUACGACCUCGAUGUUGGAUCAGGGUAUCCCAGUGGUGCAGCCGCUACUAAUGGUUCGUUUGUUCAACGAUUAAAACCCUACGUGA
Molecule: ribosomal RNA, 546 nt
Filed under: Scinax camposseabrai
Lineage: Eukaryota; Metazoa; Chordata; Amphibia; Anura; Hylidae
Description: partial large subunit ribosomal RNA
Rfam family: Bacterial large subunit ribosomal RNA
Source: RNAcentral